RNAcentral lists this ribosomal RNA (360 nucleotides) under uncultured bacterium. RNAcentral's name for it is "partial 16S ribosomal RNA". It matches the Rfam family "Bacterial small subunit ribosomal RNA", at positions 338 to 696 of the family's 1533-position model. The record is from RNAcentral.
CCUACGGGUGGCAGCAGUGAGGAAUAUUGGUCAAUGGUCGGGAGACUGAACCAGCCAAGCCGCGUGAGGGAGGAAGGUACAGAGUAUCGUAAACCUCUUUUGUCAGGGAACAAAGACUGGGAAGCGUCCCCGGAUGAGUGUACCUGAAGAAAAAGCAUCGGCUAACUCCGUGCAAGCAGCCGCGGUAAUACGGGGGAUGCGAGUGUUAUCCGGAUUUAUUGGGUUUAAAGGGUGCGCAGGCGGUCUGUUAAGUCAGCGGUAAAAGACCGGGGCUCAACCCCGGCCCGCCGUUGAUACUGGCAAACUAGAGGUGGAGAGAAGGAAGCGGAAUGCGAGGUGAAGCGGUGAAAUGCAUAGAUA